RNAcentral lists this ribosomal RNA (253 nucleotides) under uncultured bacterium. RNAcentral describes it as "partial 16S ribosomal RNA". It matches the Rfam family "Bacterial small subunit ribosomal RNA", at positions 524 to 776 of the family's 1533-position model. The record is from RNAcentral.
UACGAAGGGGGCUAGCGUUGCUCGGAAUGACUGGGCGUAAAGGGCGCGUAGGCGGUUUGGACAGUCAGAUGUGAAAUUCCUGGGCUCAACCCGGGGGCUGCAUUUGAUACGUUCGGACUAGAGUGGGGAAGAGGGUCGUGGAAUUCCCAGUGUAGAGGUGAAAUUCGUAGAUAUUGGGAAGAACACCGGUGGCGAAGGCGGCGACCUGGUCCUUGACUGACGCUGAGGCGCGAAAGCGUGGGGAGCAAACAGG